RNAcentral lists this long non-coding RNA (305 nucleotides) under Homo sapiens (human). RNAcentral's name for it is "HSALNT0130432". Lineage: Eukaryota; Metazoa; Chordata; Mammalia; Primates; Hominidae. The record is from RNAcentral.
CGCCGGAGCUGAGAGCCCGCGACCUGCCGGACCAGGGCUGGGCCGCGGGUCAAUGAUCCAGGAAAUCCCGUCACUCGCGUGCCUGUGGCUGAAGCGCGGCAGCUUGUCUUGUCCGUUUCGUGUCAGUUUCAGGGCUGAGUGGCAGCGUCUGGACUUUGCGGACGCCGAGGGCUCAGAUGCUGGGCUCUGGGGAGGGAGAGGGCGCCGGCCGGCCUGUCCCUCUCCGGGGAUUUGCAGGGAGAAGAUUUCGUCUGAGGACGUAGGCCGAACCUUGUGUUUUAUAUGUCAUAUGAAUUACGCUCUGA